RNAcentral lists this ribosomal RNA (497 nucleotides) under uncultured bacterium. RNAcentral describes it as "partial 16S ribosomal RNA". It matches the Rfam family "Bacterial small subunit ribosomal RNA", at positions 28 to 507 of the family's 1533-position model. The record is from RNAcentral.
GAUGAACGCUGGCGGCGUGCCUAAUACAUGCAAGUCGAGCGAACAGACGAGGAGCUUGCUCCUCUGACGUUAGCGGCGGACGGGUGAGUAACACGUGGAUAACCUACCUAUAAGACUGGGAUAACUUCGGGAAACCGGAGCUAAUACCGGAUAAUAUAUUGAACCGCAUGGUUCAAUAGUGAAAGACGGUUUUGCUGUCACUUAUAGAUGGAUCCGCGCCGCAUUAGCUAGUUGGUAAGGUAACGGCUUACCAAGGCAACGAUGCGUAGCCGACCUGAGAGGGUGAUCGGCCACACUGUAACUGAGACACGGUCCAGACUCCUACGGGAGGCAGCAGUAGGGAAUCUUCCGCAAUGGGCGAAAGCUUGACGGAGCAACGCCGCGUGAGUGAUAAAGGUCUUCGGAUCGUAAAACUAUGUUAUUAGGGAAGAACAAAUGUGUAAGUAACUAUGCACGUCUUGACGGUACCUAAUCAGAAAGCCACGGCUAACUACGUG